Molecule: long non-coding RNA, 442 nt
Filed under: Gossypium raimondii (Peruvian cotton)
Lineage: Eukaryota; Viridiplantae; Streptophyta; Magnoliopsida; Malvales; Malvaceae
Description: long non-coding RNA (GRAI_LNC001161)
Source: RNAcentral
UGAAAUUGGUAUAUUGGUCGAUUGAGGUAAGUAAAUUAAUUGAGUGGUGUGCUGACUUGAAAUAUGGCGAUUGUGAUGUUGAGUAUUGUUGCUUUGUAAGCAUGCCAUUAAUUGAAAUCGAAUUGAUAAGCAUGCAUUGUUUCAUUGAAAAGUAUGCCUUAUUGCAUUGUAUGGGGUUGAUUUUUGUGGACGACGGAGGAAUUUCAGGGAGUAUUGGCGGUAUACCCGCAAUCAUUGGUUAGCCAGUAUACUGCAUCAGAGUAUUGGGGAGAUUGACAGCUUGUCUGCAGUUGAUAUUGACGAUUUAUUUGCAACUUUAAUUGACAGUUUUAACUGCAAGAUUGAUAUUGGUGGCUCAACCACACUGAGCUUUGGAUCCAAUUGUUUGGUGUUCGGAUGAUGAGUUCUGAGGAACUCGUGGUGUGUAGCAGAUGGUAUGGGU